This 387-nucleotide unclassified non-coding RNA is filed under the name soil metagenome. RNAcentral describes it as "partial contains 5.8S ribosomal RNA, internal transcribed spacer 2, and large subunit ribosomal RNA". The stretch from base 1 to 120 matches the Rfam family "5.8S ribosomal RNA", at positions 35 to 154 of the family's 154-position model. The record is from RNAcentral.
GAUGAAGAACGUAGCGAAAUGCGAUAAGUAAUGUGAAUUGCAGAAUUCAGUGAAUCAUCGAAUCUUUGAACGCACCUUGCGCUCCUUGGUAUUCCGAGGAGCAUGCCUGUUUGAGUGUCAUGAAAUUCUCAAACCCAUAAGUCUUUGCGGGCUUACGGGCUUUGGACUUGGAGGCUUGUCGGCGACCGUGAGGUCACAUCGACUCCUCUCAAAUGCAUUAGCUUGAUUCCUUGCGGAUCGGCUCUCGGUGUGAUAAUUGUCUACGCCGUGACCGUGAAGCGUUUUGGCAAGCUUCUAACCGUCUCUAACGAGACAGCUUACUUUGACCUCUGACCUCAAAUCAGGUAGGACUACCCGCUGAACUUAAGCAUAUCAAUAAGCGGAGGA